GGGGCGGUAGCUCAGCCGGUCAGAGCAGGGGACUCAUAAUCCUCCGGUCGUGGGUUCGAGCCCCACCCGCCCCACCA
RNAcentral lists this transfer RNA (77 nucleotides) under Pseudofrankia inefficax. Its description in RNAcentral is "tRNA-Ile2 (CAT) (tRNA-Ile2-CAT-1-1)". It matches the Rfam family "tRNA". Rfam says of the family: Transfer RNA (tRNA) molecules are approximately 80 nucleotides in length. Their secondary structure includes four short double-helical elements and three loops (D, anti-codon, and T loops). The record is from RNAcentral. Lineage: Bacteria; Bacillati; Actinomycetota; Actinomycetes; Frankiales; Frankiaceae. RNAcentral also lists the same sequence under 4 other names.